Molecule: small RNA, 256 nt
Filed under: Salvator merianae (Argentine black and white tegu)
Lineage: Eukaryota; Metazoa; Chordata; Lepidosauria; Squamata; Teiidae
Description: 7SK RNA (ENSSMRG00000004260.1)
Rfam family: 7SK RNA
About the family: 7SK was discovered as an abundant small nuclear RNA in the mid-70s but a possible function has only recently been suggested.
Source: Rfam by way of RNAcentral
AGAUGUAAGGGUGGUUGGGUCAUGACAUCUGUCACCCCAUUGAUCACCAGGGUUGAUUCAGCUGAUCUGAUUGGCUAGUAGGGAGUUCCCUUCCUCCUUCAUCACUCCAUGUGUGACCCUCCCCAAGCUGCAUGCUCAGUGAAUGACCAUCUCAGAUUGAAGAGCUGUAGCGUUCUUCAGUCAAGGGUAUAUGAUACCUACUAGAACCUCCCAACAUUAAGUAUGAAAUUUAAAUUUCAUUUAAUGAUUACAAUAU